This 429-nucleotide ribosomal RNA is filed under the name Chloroflexota bacterium. Its description in RNAcentral is "Chloroflexi bacterium partial 16S ribosomal RNA". It matches the Rfam family "Bacterial small subunit ribosomal RNA", at positions 355 to 776 of the family's 1533-position model. The record is from RNAcentral. Lineage: Bacteria; Bacillati; Chloroflexota.
UGGGGAAUAUUGCACAAUGGGCGCAAGCCUGAUGCAGCCAUGCCGCGUGUGUGAAGAAGGCCUUCGGGUUGUAAAGCAUUUUCAGCGGGGAGGAAGGCGAUAAGGUCAAUAACCUUGUCGAUUGACGUUACCCGCAGAAGAAGCACCGGCUAACUCCGUGCCAGCAGCCGCGGUAAUACGGAGGGUGCAAGCGUUAAUCGGAAUUACUGGGCGUAAAGCGCACGCAGGCGGUCUGUCAAGUCGGAUGUGAAAUCCCCGGGCUUAACCUGGGAACUGCAUUCGAAACUGGCAGGCUAGAGUCUUGUAGAGGGGGGUAGAAUUCCAGGUGUAGCGGUGAGAUGCGUAGAGAUCUGGAGGAAUACCGGUGGCGAAGGCGGCCCCCUGGACAAAGACUGACGAUCAGAUGCGAAAGCGUGAGGAGCAAACAGG